CUAUACAUGACUCUGCGCAUAUCAAUAAGCGGAGGAAAAGCAUACCACCGAUGAUAUGAUGUUCACCGUGGAAACCGUUUCCUGUCUGGGUACCUACGCUUAGGAUGUUGACGAGACUGUCGUUCUCAUCUAUACAUGACUCUACGCAUAUCAAUAAGCGGAGGAAAAGAAACUAACAAGGAUUCCCCUAGUAACGGCGAGUGAAGCGGGAAGAGCUCAAAUUUGAAAUCUUAAAGGGUUUCCCUUUACGAAUUGUAGUUUAAAGAAGUGGUUUCUGUUGAGGUUUUGGUAAAAGUUCUUUGGAAUAGGACAUCAUAGAGGGUGAGAAUCCCGUAUUUGACCUUUACUUUCAACUUUGUGAUACACUUUCAAAGAGUCGGAUUGUUUGGGAAUGCAGUCCAAAAUGGGUGGUAAAUUUCAUCUAAAGCUAAAUAUUGGCGAGGAGACCGAUAGCGAACAAGUACCGUGAGGGAAAGAUGAAAAGAACUUUGAAAAGAGAGUUAAACAGUACGUGAAAUUGUCAAAAGGGAAGCGUUUGACACCAGUGUUGUUUUUCUGAAAAUCAAUUAAGGAACUGUUUAUGCUAAGUUGUUUAGACUUUAUCAGCUAACUGUUUAGUUUUGAGCUUUUCUUUAAUGCACUUUUCAGUUAACAAGUCAACAUCAAUUUCUUUUGCUGUAAAAAAGCUUGAGGAAGGUGGCUUGAGAUUCGUCUUAAGUGUUUAUAGCCUCUUGCCUAUGCAGUCGGAGAGAUUGAGGUCUGCAGCGUAGAUCCUUCGGGGCUAAAUGCAUUUGUGCUAAGUUAUAGCAUUUUAUAGACAACUUGUUGACUAUGAUUUGUCUUGUAGCUUACUCGCUUAUGUUAUUUUACCUACGCUUAGGAUGUUGAGCGCAUGUCUCUCUCU
Molecule: ribosomal RNA, 904 nt
Filed under: uncultured Neocallimastigales
Lineage: Eukaryota; Fungi; Neocallimastigomycota; Neocallimastigomycetes; Neocallimastigales
Description: partial large subunit ribosomal RNA
Rfam family: Eukaryotic large subunit ribosomal RNA (bases 121-904)
Source: RNAcentral